RNAcentral lists this ribosomal RNA (552 nucleotides) under uncultured bacterium. RNAcentral describes it as "partial 16S ribosomal RNA". It matches the Rfam family "Bacterial small subunit ribosomal RNA", at positions 355 to 895 of the family's 1533-position model. The record is from RNAcentral.
UGGGGAAUAUUGGACAAUGGGCGCAAGCCUGAUCCAGCAAUGCCGCGUGUGUGAAGAAGGCCUUCGGGUUGUAAAGCACUUUUAUCAGGAGCGAAACGCUGUCGGCUAAUACCCGGCGGAACUGACGGUACCUGAGGAAUAAGCACCGGCUAACUUCGUGCCAGCAGCCGCGGUAAUACGAAGGGUGCAAGCGUUAAUCGGAAUUACUGGGCGUAAAGCGUGCGUAGGCGGUUUCUUAAGUCUGCUGUGAAAUCCCCGGGCUCAACCUGGGAAUGGCAGUGGAUACUGGGAGGCUAGAGUGUGUCAGAGGGUGGUGGAAAUUCCCGGUGUAGCGGUGAAAUGCAUAGAGAUCGGGAGGAACAUCAGUGGCGAAGGCGGCCACCUGGGACAACACUGACGCUGAGGCACGAAAGCGUGGGGAGCAAACAGGAUUAGAUACCCUGGUAGUCCACGCCCUAAACGAUGCGAACCGGAUGUUGGUCUCAACUCGGAGAUCAGUGUCGAAGCUAACGACGUUAAGUUCGCCGCCUGGGGGAGUACGGUCGCAAGACU